Pogona vitticeps (central bearded dragon) is the source of this 1839-nucleotide long non-coding RNA. Lineage: Eukaryota; Metazoa; Chordata; Lepidosauria; Squamata; Agamidae. The record is from Ensembl.
CAACUCCCAGCGCCGAAGGGGGUAGCGGGCGCGACGCUGGCGCUUCAAGCAGCCGGCGCGGUCUCCGGGGGGAAGGGGCCCCGCCGGGUUUGUGGGGCGGCCGACCGCGGCCCUCGAGGUCGGAGGGAAGACGGGAGGCUGAGGCGAGGGCGAGGAAAGGAAUAGGGGAAACGCCUUCCCAGCCGCCCCUUCCCGGCUUCCUUCCCAGCCUGGCCCCGAGGGAGCCCCGCCGCCCCCACUAAGAAUCUCUGUUAUUGGUGGGUAAAUUUAACUUAAGCUGGAAAAGGAACCUCAAGGGGAUGAAAGGAGGAGGCGUGGAAGAAGGAGAGGAGGGUGAGAAUUGCAGCAGUUUAAGGUACAGGAGGUCUCUUGCACCAAAACUACCCAGGAUGCAGUGAAUAUUUCCAUGUGGACAGAAGCAGUCAUCUAAAUGCACAAAUGGCUUGAUUGCCCCAAUUAAGCCUGACCCAACCUGGGAUACCUUCUCUGCCCAUGCAUGUGUUUUGUGCCGUCAAGUAGGAACCAAAUUAUACCAGCCCUAAUAGAGCUUUCAAGGUAACAGAUAUUUUAAAAGGUGGUUUUAGGAGGUCUCCUCCCCCAGUCUGCUUCCAUGGCUGAGCAGGAUUUGAGUUUUCAGACGGGAGAGACUCUUCUGGGAGUCAUUGUGCUCCCACCGGCAGAUUCCUCCAGCAAGGAUUAACCCGGAACAUCUGAAUCUGCUUCCGCUGGAUUGUGGAGCCUCAGAUGGUGACAUAUCUCCCGAAUGGAAGGUGGCCUUGGACACAGGCAAUCGGCAGGCCUGCUCCAACCCGAAGAGCGAGUGUCAGGUUGAAAAUCAAGACUGGCAGCUGCCUUUCAACAGACAGUUCCUCACGAGGUGGUCCUGCUUCUGCUGAGAAAUUCUGCUCAAUCUCCUCCAACAUAUUGUUGCUGUAAUGGCACAAUAAGAACAUGGACCGCAUCAAAAGCUUCCCACAAGAUCCUUGUCAUUUUUAAUCACAUGAGAGAUCUGCAUGUUCCAAAAGGUCCUUGAAGUUCUCUUAAAUCCAGUGACGGGAGGUAAGGAGCAACCUGGUAUCUCUUUGAUUAAAUGCCAAUGUUUUACAAUCCUCUUUCUAAAAGUAUUUAAUAGAAAGAUAUUGAAUAGAUAGGUUGGAGCACAAGGCUGGAAAACAGAAUAAUGAUGUUUUCCAAAUUAACCAUAUAAAGAUGAUCCCCCCCCCCGGCUGCGGCUGCUGCUGCUGCUGCUGCUGCACAACCUGUAGCCACCCAUUUUAUAUUCACGAAGGCUUCCACGGCCGGGAUCUGAUGGUGGUCGUGGGUUUUUUGGGCUCUUUGGCUCUUUGUUCUGGAGGUGGUUCUUCCUGACGUUUCGCCCGUCUCUCUGUGGCCAUGGGCCUCUUCAGAGGGGAGCACAGGCCAGGGUUUCCUCUUGCUUUUAAAGCAAGGUUUCCUCUUGCUUUUAAAAGGAAUUUAAUAUGUUGGGAAAGGUCCUCGUCAAUUUCCUGAUAAUUGGUUAUAUCAUUUAAUUUUCUUCUGUUGCUUUCAAAGCAACCAUCCUCUCUGUUUUUGUACUGCAACUGCAACCCCUCUUACCCGCCUCCUUUGCAAUAAUAGACUCAUCUGAUGCUAGAGGGUUUUUUUUUAAUGGCCAGCUAUUCUCUUCUACUGCUGUCUUAAUUUACAUUUUUCCUCAUUUAUCUCUAUAUAUGAAUUCUAAAAUUAGGGAUCAGUGAGGUAUCUUCUCAGUUUGUCUUAUUCUCCAAAAGUUUUUUUUUAAGUUUUAUUUGUUUUAUCAACUUAAAUAAAUCCACUCUAGUUUUGAAUGGUUUGUAAUCA